UUCUUUUGCACUAACUCCAUUCAUUAUCCUUCACAAUGUGUUGCUGGUUCCUUCCUUUAAACACAUGAUUUCUGUCCACAAGUUAGUGAAACAGUUGCAUUGUGUAGUUUUGUUCACUGAAAAUUCCUGCUUCCUCCACAUGAUACAGGACCCUUCUCUGAGGAGGCCUCUGGAUCUUGGUAAAGAAGAUGCUGGCAUAUAUAAACUGGCUUGGGUUCCAC
This 221-nucleotide long non-coding RNA is filed under the name Nicotiana benthamiana. RNAcentral describes it as "long non-coding RNA (NBEN_LNC005851)". Lineage: Eukaryota; Viridiplantae; Streptophyta; Magnoliopsida; Solanales; Solanaceae. The record is from RNAcentral.